Paramuricea clavata is the source of this 322-nucleotide non-coding RNA. The record is from the annotation of a GenBank genome assembly. NCBI's taxonomy places the organism in Eukaryota, Metazoa, Cnidaria, Anthozoa, Malacalcyonacea, Plexauridae.
CUUUUAGCUAAAGUCUUGAAAUUUCUACACCAAAUAGCGUUUUUCAAUAGCUUCAAUUUGAUAUAUAGCCCAACGUUCAAUGUUGAGUAUUUCUGCUCAUAACUCAGAAAAACUAAAAUGCACUGGCUUCAAUUCCCCCCCCCUGAGUUAGCCUUCCAGUUUAUUUAUAGUUCAAUGGGCCUGACACAAAACCCGUCUAGACCGUGGGACGCCCACAUGUUAUUUUUAGACACACAUGCAAUAUGAUUGACAAGUGUUGUAGAUUUCGAUUUUGUUACACAAAAAAUUUAUAUUCUCAUGAACAUGUCCGCAGAGUGUAGAU